RNAcentral lists this long non-coding RNA (248 nucleotides) under Elaeis guineensis (African oil palm). RNAcentral describes it as "long non-coding RNA (EGUI_LNC062228)". The record is from RNAcentral. Lineage: Eukaryota; Viridiplantae; Streptophyta; Magnoliopsida; Arecales; Arecaceae.
GAUUGCUCUAUGGAUCUCAAGGAAGGUCACUUCUCCUUAAAGUGGCAGGCGAGGGAGUGGCUGAAGAAGAUCGGAUAGAGCCUGAGCUGGAGGAGGAUCUGCUCCUUUAAACCUCUUCGGCCUUGGAGCAGCAGAAGUCUGCCUCGGUUCAUCCUUCCUUUUCUUUGCUUCUACCAAUCUCUUUGGGUCAAACCUCAUUUUGCACAAGAAAGUUAAGUACUUGGAGAAAGUAAGAAAAUGCAAAGGAA